This is a small nucleolar RNA of Cavia porcellus (domestic guinea pig), 137 nucleotides long. The record is from Ensembl. NCBI's taxonomy places the organism in Eukaryota, Metazoa, Chordata, Mammalia, Rodentia, Caviidae.
CUGGCCCUGAAUCAAGGCCAGCAACUUCCUGAUACUGUUGGAUUCAAGCAGGAGCCUAAAGGUAUGUCUUUCUAUGGUCUGUUGGCCAUUUCCAAACUUGGGCAGUGAAAUGGUCAAUUCACUAGAAAGAAACAGUG